This 295-nucleotide long non-coding RNA is filed under the name Phasianus colchicus (ring-necked pheasant). Its description in RNAcentral is "lncRNA (ENSPCLG00000021284.1)". The record is from RNAcentral. Lineage: Eukaryota; Metazoa; Chordata; Aves; Galliformes; Phasianidae.
GGACAAUCUUUAUGAGCUAAUAAUUCUUACAGGUGGUGUUCUGUUUUCAUAGAGGGCAGUGCUCAAGGGCUGCUUCUCUUGUGCAUCUCUGCAGGGAGAAGCUGCUGCUGGGGCAGCUCCUGUUUCUGCUGCAAGGAUGAAACUGAAUACAGGCCUGACAGCAGUAACAGCUGUUAUUGUUGCAGAUCACCAGAGAUUUAAAGAGUUUCUUAUUUCCAAGGAGUACUGCUGCAGUGUGGAGCAAAGCAGCUGAAUAAACUACCAGGUAACCACUCCAGUGAAAAGAUAUUUCCAG